GGAAAUGUAGAAUGGUUCAUUAAUGGCUGAGGGGAAGGUGACAACGAGGAAUACAACAGUAAAACUAAUCAGGAGGGCAGUGGAACUAGUCGGAGAACAAGGAUGGGGGAGGGAUGGAGAGAGAGGGAAAGCAAGGGCUACUUGAAGUUAGAGAAGUCAAUGUUCAUACC
This is a long non-coding RNA of Amblyraja radiata (thorny skate), 170 nucleotides long. RefSeq lists it as uncharacterized. The transcript has 3 exons. NCBI's taxonomy places the organism in Eukaryota, Metazoa, Chordata, Chondrichthyes, Rajiformes, Rajidae. The record is from RefSeq and is a predicted model, not a curated record.